UUGGUUCCGUGCUCCGCCACUGCUGACAUGUCAUCCCUUGUUAUUGAUACGAAGAUACAAGAAUUGCUACCGGAGACCGAAUUCAUGGUGAAGUGUGACGGCUGUGUUUCAGAUGUUAAAAAGCAAAUUGCAGACGAUCGAGGGCGUUAAAAGACUUGAUGUCGACUUGACUAAUCAAGUUGUACGAGUGCUAGGCUCCAUUUCUCUGCGGACUCUGACAGAUGCCCUGCAGCAGACAGGCAGGACUCGCUUAAUUGGUCAAGGGAGGCCAGCAGGUUUGAUCUUAUUGGAGGUCGGUCUCUACUAAGGUUGCCAAGCCGUAGUCGACGUGGCUUUUCCCUGUCCCUUGUGUACUUGUACAAAUUUUGAUUUCUAAGGACUGUCCUUAAGCUUCAGGAGAUUUUCCUUAAUUGUGGUAUACUCGUGAUGCUCUUGGUUAUCAUCAGUCUUUCCUCUCUCCUUCUUUUAGGCCUCAAAAAUUGAUGGAUCUACACAAAGUCCGGCAUGCUGGGAGAAGCCCCAAAUUCAAACACCUUUCUCAUCUAGAAUCUCUAAUAUUGGCAUCUGUAUACAUGCAAUUAGAUUUGUUCUUUCAAACAGCAAGAUGGCAUAUAUGAUUGCUGUUUUAAAUUUGGGUUUUUUGUCUAUAUUUAGUUGACACGGAUGUCAACGAC
This is a long non-coding RNA of Nymphaea colorata (pocket water lily), 674 nucleotides long. RefSeq lists it as uncharacterized. The transcript is spliced from 4 exons. The record is from RefSeq and is a predicted model, not a curated record. NCBI's taxonomy places the organism in Eukaryota, Viridiplantae, Streptophyta, Magnoliopsida, Nymphaeales, Nymphaeaceae.